ACUAUUUUGGCAGAUUAGUGCAAUAAAUUUAGAAUUUAUUUAUGUAAUUUAAAGUUACAAAUAGUA
RNAcentral lists this transfer RNA (66 nucleotides) under Potthastia sp. XL1561. Its description in RNAcentral is "tRNA-Leu". Lineage: Eukaryota; Metazoa; Arthropoda; Insecta; Diptera; Chironomidae. The record is from RNAcentral.